CUCGGACUUCUGACUUCCGAGGUAACUCGAACGCAGCAUUUUUAGGCAUAUCCAGGCCAGAGCGUUUUUUCUAUAAAUAACUUUAUUUACAACUAAUUCAACGUCGUACUGAAAUACGAACAUCGGGUGUUGAGGAAGGAAUAUCAAAUAAAAAAACGAAGAAGAUAUAGUAAAAAAUGAUAUAAAUAGAUAAAUAAGAAGAGUUUUCUGCGUCAUAUGGAAGCUACAUACUGGUUCACCUGCCUUAAUUCAACAAACGAGGACUGUGGUCGAGAUCGGCAUUUCCUCCUCAUAUUGUGGAGUGACUCUCGCUGAAUGUGUCUGCCCCAAGAAUUAUAUACAAAAACUUAAUCGUCAUUUACCGGUAUGUCUGGGGCCAGGGCUUCAUCUCAUUCAUCCCUGUUUUUCUGUAUAAAACCAACACUGCUGCAAGACGCCUGUCCCUGUCCUGAGAGGUGAACAGAUGAAAGACCAGGUAAUAGACCACUGUUUCUCUUUCUACCAUUAAUGACUUCUUGUUUUCCUCUUUAGUCUCCUAUGUUGCUGUGCUUGAACAUGUCCUAUUUAACUCAAAACGUAAACACAUUUUAAGUCCGGAGUAAAAUAGAGGGCUUGAUGGCACUGUUAUCAUCCCUGCUGAUAGGGCCCAGGUUGGUGCAAAUUGUGCGCUCAGUGCAAAUGAUUUCAAAAGAACUAGCCUACUAUAUUAAUGUUAUCAAUAAAAGCAACUGCAGUACAGAAAUAUUUAACAGAAACAACCAAACAUUUGUUGAAAUAAUGUUUUAAUUUGCAUUCACUUUAUUAAUACACUAAUAAAACACAAAACAAUACCAGAAUAAUUGCCUCAGCACAAGCAGUCCUUCUUUGCUCAUGAGGAUAAUUAACUGAAAAGUGUUAAACCAAUUAAAAACAUUACCACAACAGUAUUAAAAUCAUAUAGAGUGGAGUAAAAAAUACAUAAAAAAUAAAAAUCAUUAAGCAUCAGACUCCAACUGUAGCUGAAUACUUUUGUUCAACUUUAGUGUCACAAUUAGAGCGUAGAAAUCCACUUAUUCAAAAUUUGAUGAUUUACCUUAUGACCCCCUACGUUUUCAGAUGGGAUGGUCAACAGGCACAAGGUUUGGCAGGGACAGGGGUACUUGUAUGGGAUUGUGCAGCUUGCCUCGACCACAGGACAGCCUCCAGAAGCCAGCUUUUUUUUCUCUCUCUGCUUUGCCGGCCUGUCUGUCACUCUGUUUCUCCCAGGCUCAGAGGCUCACUUUAUUGUCUCUGUCAGUUGUGAGCCGGCGGUUUGCCUCCACUCACUGUCACCCCUCUGUCAGGCCCUGACCGAUAAAGCUAGCACCAGCGCCAAUCUCCCUUCUUCAGCUCCGUUGGCUGUUCCUGGACUCCAUUCCACCACUAAUUAGCUCUUCAGAGAUUUCUCUUCGUGGAAGCAGGGGGUUGUGGGGUGGGGUUGGUGGGGGUGUUAAGGGGGAGCUUGAAGGGCGAGGAGGGGCAAAGAGAGGGGAGGACUGGAUGUGUGUGGAGGAGUGGGUCUUUAGAUUAGAUAGAUAGAUAGAUAGAUAGAUAGAUAGAUAGAUAGAUAGAUAGAUAGAUAGAUAGAUAGAUAGAUAGAUAGAUGCAAAAUGUCUUCAGGCUCUGGUCAAAUACCCAAUGAGGGGCAGCGUUGUCUUGACUAAUGUCCCGCCUCCGCCUGGGCCAACAUGACCACUGCAGGUCUUCAGGUGAUUAACAUGUUGGCAGGGGCUCCUACAUGAAGAGACCCCUGUUUCUUUGUCUUCUGGUGUGUAAAUAUUGUGCUAGCGGAAUAUGAAAGUAGUGCAACUAUAAGGUACAAAAACAUAGGGAAAAAGAUCAAGAGUGGGUCUCACAUCAAGGAGGACCCCGAGGAUGUCUUUGUUGUCAACUUCAGAAGGGGGAAGAGAGGAGCAGAGGAGGAAACUGGCAGAAGGGGGAAAGAUGCCAGAGAGAGCUCAAAGGAUUCGGUCUGGGCAAGGUGAUCGGUAUUCCUCGGCAGUCUGCCUUCUGGCUCAGAUCAGUGAGAGUAAGCUGGCAGCCAAGCCAGAGGGCAUAACAGCACAAACACACCUUCAGCACUACACUGCUAGAGGCUUGGCUUCACAAUCUGGAGGGGCGGGAGUUGGAGGGAGACACAGAGGGAAGAGCAGGGAGAAAAUAAAUACACUGUAAUUAUCUUCAAAUCAUCAACCCCUGACAUCCAUUGUAAAUAUGUGUGUGUGGAAAAAAAGCCAUAAUCCCUCGCUAACAGUGUGUCAAGAUAAUUAAUCAGGCGAGAUCCAGCCAUGGGUUAUACAGUAUGUGCUAAAGGUACAAAGGUCAGCAGUCAGGCAGGCUCAUCCUGAGGCCAGCAGUGCUGUUUCUACUCUCGUCAUCACCUCUUCUUUCUCUCUUGGACAGGAUCCAAAAUCCAACAACCUGUGAGCAGAGAGAGUGCCCCCCCUUCUUCCUCUGCAAGGACUUCCCACCGUCAUGCUGGGACACAAGCCUGACACACGCCUUGCAUUCAACACCUACAUGGCCCUCACUGAUGUUCUGUUACAGCUCCGACUAAAGGUCUAACCAGGUACCUGAUGGGUGGGCAGAACCAGGCGAGGCACACUAAAUUAAGAGCUCACGCACACACACAUACACAAAAGUGUUGUGACAGGUAGCAGAUGUCCUGGCAAAGGCCGACUACCUCCCUGGACAACCAUGGACGACACACAUGCUUGCACAUGGACAGACACAUGCAGCAUUUGGCCAUGAUGUGGCAUCCAUGCUGUGCGUGUCCAAAAGCACCUGAAGUCUGAGCAAGUGGAUCGUCCGUUCUUCUAUCAUGCUAAUGCCCUGUUACAAACAUUUAACUUCUUAAUCAAACAAAAUAAAUAGAUUUUUUUAUCUAAGGUUUUGACCACAUCAAAAUAUGAAAUUUUAAAACAAUACUCCCUCACAAGUCAGUUAUGAUUUAAGAUUUCUUGACAUCUUCAAUAAUUCUAGGACAAAAACAGGAUAAUAGGGCAUUAUCUUGGCAAUCCAAAAAUGAUGCUACCAUCUUGACAGAGCAGCCAAAUUAUUAAGUUUACUCUUGAACUGUUGCAGACACACUUUUAUAAGUUUUAUAACUAACUUUUAAUGUUUUACUCUCAAAUCUGAUCUAACUUUCUUCACAAAUGCAAUAAUUCAAGCUAUUUCGGUCUGGCACAUCGCUAUAAGUUCUGUACCUGCAAGCAUGUCUCUUUUUUUAUUUAUACUGUCGGGUUUUUCCACAAACAAAAAAGCAGGCGUACAAAAAAAAACUUGGCUCGAGUCAGUGUUCAGUUUUAGAACUUUCUCCAAAUGUCUUUCACAAUUUAUCUCAAAUAUAAUUUCACCCUCAUAAAAAGUUAGACCUUGAGUUGACGAGCAGGGAAACUAAUUUGAGAUUUGAAUUCAUUUUUGAUGUGCUAAAUCCAAUACAGCCUUAAUGAUGAAUAAUCUUCAUUAUUAUUCUAUAUCCCAGAUAAUGUAGUGUUGUAAUUGAUCAAUAUGACACCGUAUUGAACUCUGACUAACGUCUGUGGAGAUUUUCAAGAACAUCACUCUUCAAGGCUGCAGUGGAGUAAGAACCGGAUCCAAAGUUGUCUCAAAUUGCAAUUCAGCUCAUGCUCUUCAUCCUCAUGAACAGAUCAUAACCGAGGUUCCUCCAUCAGAUGGAAAGGGCGGAAAAAAAGUCCUCGCUGUUUUAGGCUUUAAAGUGGAAUCUUAAUGUGUGUUUUUCCUCUUCUGAACAAGCCUUAUAUUUCCUCCUGCACAAGGUCAACACACUCACAUGGCCAGAGAUAGAAUUAAAUAAAUAACUGCAAGAAACAAUUAGCAAUGCAUCAAUAGUUGGAUCAAUAGUGAUGUUGGUAAUUAUCACUUUUGGGAUAGGGGAGAUGCUCUUUCCUUAUUGAUGCUCUCUAAUUCACGGGGAUAACCUCAGGGCCUGCAGAAUAAAUCAAAACACAUCAAGGUAAACCACAUUCCCUGCUCCUUUAUGACAGAUGUGAAUAAAUAUCGCCCCCUUAACUUUAAAUAUUAAAUCCUAGACCUAGCC
Non-coding RNA from Xyrichtys novacula (pearly razorfish), 4078 nucleotides. NCBI's taxonomy places the organism in Eukaryota, Metazoa, Chordata, Actinopteri, Labriformes, Labridae. The record is from the annotation of a GenBank genome assembly.